GCUCAGGACCCGUGAACCCACUUUGCACGUGGGCCGGGCACGCCACUUUUCCCAGUCAGGGACCUAGGCCCCAGCGCGCGCCCCCGAGGGCCCCGCGGAAAUGCCCUGGCCCACCCGCCGGAAGUGACGUAACGCCACGUCCUAGCAACCGUUGCCAAGGAGCUCGUCUCUAGGAACCCACUAGAGCCUGGAUGCCUCCUGCGGGGGGGAAAAAAGUGGUUUCUUGACGAGAAUUUGAGUUAUAAGACCUAAUUAUGAGCGAUCAAAUCAAAUUCAUUGUGGACAAUCUCAAUAAGGAGCCUUUUAGGAAGAACUAUAAUUUAAUAACAUUUGAUUCCCUGGAGCCAAUGCAACUAUUGCAAAUUCUCAAUGAUGUUCUGGCUGAGAUUGACCCAAAGCAAGUUGUGGAUAUCAGAGAGGAGAUGCCAGAGCAUACAGCCAAAAGGAUGUUGAGCCUUCUUGGUAUCCUUAAAUACAAACCUCCAGGAAAUGCUACAGACAUGAGUACCUUUCGUCAGGGUCUGGUGAUUGGAAGUAAACCUGUAAUUUACCCAGUGCUCCACUGGCUUCUUCAGAGGACUAAUGAACUGAAGAAAAGAGCAUAUUUAGCUCGUUUUUUAAUAAAACUUGAGGUACCAAGUGAGUUUCUUCAGGACGAAACAGUGGCUGAUACCAAUAAACAGUAUGAAGAGCUGAUGGAAGCCUUUAAAACUUUGCAUAAAGAAUGUGAGCAACUCAAGACAUCUGGAUUUUCUACAGCAGAAAUAAGAAGGGAUAUCAGUGCAAUGGAGGAUGAAAAGGAUCAGCUCAUUAAGAGAGUUGAACGUUUGAAGAAAAGGGUGGAGACAGUUCAGAAUCAUCAACGGAUGCUUAAAAUAGCAAGGCAACUUCGAGUUGAAAAAGAGAGAGAAGAAUUUCUUGCACAACAGAAACAGGAACAAAAGAAUCAGCUAUUUCAUGCGGUGCAGAGACUGCAAAGAGUACAAAAUCAGCUGAAAAGUAUGCGCCACGCAGCAGCAGAUGCAAAGCCUGAAAGUUUAAUGAAGAGACUAGAGGAAGAGAUAAAGUUUAAUUCUUAUAUGGUAACUGAAAAAUUUCCUAAAGAAUUAGAGAGCAAGAAAAAAGAAUUGCAUUUUCUACAAAAAGUGGUUUCAGAGCCUGCCAUGGGCCAUUCUGAUCUUCUUGAACUAGAAUCUAACAUAAAUGAAAUAAACACACAGAUAAAUCAGCUGAUUGAAAAGAAAAUGAUGAGAAAUGAGCCAAUUGAAGGCAAACUCUCACUAUACAGGCAACAGGCAUCCAUCAUUUCUCGUAAAAAAGAAGCCAAAGCUGAGGAACUUCAGGAAGCGAAGGAGAAGUUAGCCAGCCUAGAGAGAGAGGUAUCAGUGAAGACAAAUCAGACCCGCGAAUUUGAUGGUACUGAAGUUUUGAAGGGAGAUGAGUUCAAACGAUAUGUCAGUAAACUUCGAAGCAAGAGUACAGUUUUCAAAAAGAAGCAUCAAAUAAUAGCUGAAUUUAAAGCUGAAUUCGGCCUCUUGCAGAGGACAGAAGAACUUCUUAAACAACGGCAUGAAAAUAUUCAACAUCAACUGCGAACUAUUGAAGAGAAAAAGGGCAUAUCUGGAUAUAGUUACACUCAGGAAGAGCUGGAAAGGGUGUCCGCACUGAAGAGUGAAGUAGACGAAAUGAAAGGCCGAACGCUAGAUGACAUGUCUGAAAUGGUAAAAAAACUGAAUUCACUGGUGUCUGAAAAGAAGUCAGCUCUAGCCCCAGUUAUAAAAGAACUACGACAGUUGCGUCAGAAAUGUCAAGAACUAACCCAGGAGUGUGAUGAAAAGAAAUCCCAGUAUGAUAGCUGUGCAGCAGGCCUCGAAAGCAAUCGGUCCAAAUUAGAACAGGAAGUCAGAGGACUCCGUGAAGAAUGUCUUCAGGAAGAAAGUAGAUACCAUUACACAAAUUGUAUGAUUAAGAACCUAGAAGUACAACUUCGUCGUGCUACUGAUGAGAUGAAGGCUUAUGUUUCUUCUGAUCAACAAGAAAAAAGAAAGGCAAUUAGGGAGCAGUAUACAAAAAAUAUUGCUGAACAGGAAAACCUUGGAAAGAAACUCCGAGAAAAACAAAAAGCUGUACGAGAAAGUCAUGGUCCAAAUAUGAAACAAGCGAAAAUGUGGCGUGAUUUUGAACAAUUGAUGGAAUGUAAGAAACAGUGCUUUCUGAAACAACAAAGCCAAACUUCCAUUGGUCAGAAACUCCUCCAACUGCACAAAACUUCUGAACUGUGCUUUUUAAAGAUAUGAAAAAGGAAAAUAUGAUGAUACCUACAAAAUACUCCCAAGACCUGUAGUUCUCAAAGAAGAUUUUAGUGAUGGAAAAGUCUCAGAGAAAAGGUCUAGAAGCCAGAUCCCAGGGCCAGGAAUGUUUCUGUCUAGUCCCUAAGAUGCAUCUUUUCCUGUUACCAAAAGGUCUGAGACACCCAGUUGGUAAUCAGAAGCUCUUACAGGGAGCCUGGAAAGUAGCUGCAGACUCUUACGGCAUUUUUACUUCCAAGUAUAAGUCUUAUGAGCCUAAAAAUCAAGGUGUCAUCAAGGCUCUGUUCCUUCUGGAGGCUCCAGGGGAGAAUCCAACUUGGUGCCUGGCUUCUGAGGCCACCACGCUCCUUGGCUCGCGGCCCCUUCUCUGCCUUCCAGGCAAGCCAUUCCAGCCUCUGUCACACUUCUCUCUAGCUGACCCUCCUGCCUACUUGCCCCAAGGGCCCUUGUGAUUAAGUUGGGCCCCACCCUCUCCUUUCCUGGGUUUCUUGGGACCUCAGGGCUGGGUAGGAGCCAGUGGGGGAGUACACUGAUUAGAGCCUUUGGAACUUUCCUCAAGACAGGAGGCAGUUGGACAUUACAAGCCUAUUGAGCCCCCUCCCUGCCAUGGUCUCCAUUGAUGACCAUGGAAAGAACUAAGAGUCGGGGAGUAAAAAGAAGAGGGACCCCACGUGUCUGGAAGAAACUGGAUGAAGAAGGCUGAAAGCAGUCAAAGGGGUUGACACCACUUAAACGCGGCCUGGUCAACAACAUCCUCAUUCACCCGGAUUUUGGAAUCACUUCACCAGAGCACGACCUCAGGAGGCUGGAUCUUAAGAGGAGCCUAAGAUAAAGGUGUGUGUCUGUCCACCAGCUCUACCAAGUGCUAUGCUACACACUUCACUUGAGGAAAGCUGCCUGAGGUGGUAUUUUGGAAGACCUGUGAUAACUCUGAAUCAUGAAACUGGAGGAACAGAACAAAUCACAAGUUAAAACAUACCUAACAUCUGCCAGAAAGUACCCGCUGAGAGCAUCAUUAGCCUGAAGUCUGGAUCUAAUGCACUAAGCCCUUCCCUUCCCUCUUAACCCCAAUCUCUUUAAUUGACAUUUAGUUGCCUGCGGUCAGAUCUCUUUCAAUCCCAGUGUCUACAGGCUCCUGAUCUUGGGCGACUGGGACAGCUAGACCUAUCUUUUCUUAGGCCCACUCUUGCUUUAUUUCCCUUUUUUUGGUGUGUGCAUACUGCUUUAAUUGGGCAAUCAUUAUGCCAUACUCCCAUUAACGUCGGUGGGGAAGUGAGUAAUCAAACUCUCAAUUGUAAGCUUCGGUAAGAUAAGGUCAGCAAGACGUGUGGUCCUGAGAUGGCACCCCGCACCCGCAAGGGAAAAUGACUCUCGGUGGCUCUCACUGUUUUGGGGCUUGUUUGCGUUGCUGUGCACUUGUAAUGGAAAACGAAUAAAAAUAAAAAUCCCGGGGCCCAUUUUGGCGCGCGCUUGGGAAGUUAAUCCCACUGUCCUGGCAGAAUUCCAGCUCAGGUCACUGCAUUCUGCUGGCGGAAGCCGCCUCAUGCGGUUUUCAGUGGAUGUCACUUUCUUCUUUGCAUCCUUCUCAGGGCUCCGUGUGCAGCGCAUUCAACAGCUGGCCCUUCCCCACCUGCAGGAGCUACAGUUCUGCAGAACUCAGAAUGACCCCUGCCUCUUCCCCGGGCAGGAAAUUAACCUGCUCCAAGGACCAGCCACUGAGAUAUUUGCUACAGUCAAGAUCUAUAUGAAUGUGUCUUUCUCUGAGUGCCUUUAAGCAGCCACAGAAUCAGAUUACUCUCCUUAAAAGAUUUUUCAAGGAAUCACACAGUUUCUUACAAGUCUCUAAUGCAUAUAUUCCCUCCAUUUGUUUUGUAACGUUUUGUUAUGCAAACUAAAAAUGUCUCCUUAUCUGAAGUACUUAGAAAUUUAUCUCCCUUCCACCCAUAUAUGCUUAUUGUUGCUGCUUUUGUUUUCACAGAUUUUUUUUCUAGUGUGUAACUCUUUCCCCUAUGAAAUGUAUUGCAUUUUAUGGUGCGAGGAAUGGUUCUAACUAGUUGUUCCCCCAUACAAAUAAUCUUCUGUUCUUAACAAUGUUUACUGAAUGGCAGUUUCCAAUUGUGUGUCUUCCGCACAUGACUUAAACCUGUCUGACCAUCAGCUUUCAGGAUCUGGGGAGCUAGGAAUGACACCUACCUGACAGGCUUAUCCCAAGGAUGGAGUAAGCCAGCACGUGAAAAGGUCCUAGCACGUUGCAUGCAUGGCAGAUAUGUGUUUAAUAAAUGAUGUCUUCCUUUUA
Molecule: RNA transcript, 4605 nt
Organism: Felis catus (domestic cat)
Lineage: Eukaryota; Metazoa; Chordata; Mammalia; Carnivora; Felidae
Gene: IFT81
Gene name: intraflagellar transport 81
Exons: 24
Source: RefSeq, a predicted model, not a curated record